This 472-nucleotide ribosomal RNA is filed under the name Natrinema sp. SSIN12. Its description in RNAcentral is "bacterial SSU rRNA". It matches the Rfam family "Archaeal small subunit ribosomal RNA", at positions 359 to 830 of the family's 1478-position model. The record is from RNAcentral. Lineage: Archaea; Methanobacteriati; Methanobacteriota; Halobacteria; Halobacteriales; Natrialbaceae.
ACGCGAGUGCGAUAAGGGGACUCCGAGUGCGAGGGCAUAUAGUCCUCGCUUUUCACGACCGUAAGGUGGUCGUAGAAUAAGUGCUGGGCAAGACCGGUGCCAGCCGCCGCGGUAAUACCGGCAGCACGAGUGAUGACCGCUAUUAUUGGGCCUAAAGCGUCCGUAGCUGGCCACGCAAGUCUAUCGGGAAAUCCGCGCGCUUAACGCGCGGGCGUCCGGUGGAAACUGCGUGGCUUGGGACCGGAAGACCAGAGGGGUACGUCCGGGGUAGGAGUGAAAUCCCGUAAUCCUGGACGGACCACCGGUGGCGAAAGCGCCUCUGGAAGACGGAUCCGACGGUGAGGGACGAAAGCUCGGGUCACGAACCGGAUUAGAUACCCGGGUAGUCCGAGCUGUAAACGAUGUCUGCUAGGUGUGGCACAGGCUACGAGCCUGUGCUGUGCCGUAGGGAAGCCGUGAAGCAGACCGCCUG